GCGGGACCCAUCGUCUCGGUGUGGCACCGAGAGCUGCGCAAAGCAAAUCAAAUAGAAAGCUUACUUUUCUAUAUUUAGCAAAUGAUGUCAUCCAAAACAGUAAAAGGAAAGGACCUGAAUUCAUUAGAGAAUUUGAAUCUGUCCUUGUGGAUGCUUUUUCUCAUGUUGCUAGAGAGGCAGAUGAAGGCUGUAAAAAACCUUUAGAAAGAUUGCUGAACAUCUGGCAAGAAAGAAGUGUGUAUGGCAGCAAGUUCAUACAGCAGCUGAAGCUGUCUAUGGAGGACUCCAAGAGCCCUCCCCCCAAAGCAACAGAGGAGAAGAAAUCUCUGAAGCGAGCUUUUCAACAGAUACAAGAGGAGGAGGAUGAUGACUACCCUGGAAGCUAUUCUCCUCAAGAUCCUUCUGCAGGACCGCUCUUGACUGAGGAACUAAUCAAAGCUUUGCAGGACCUGGAAAAUGCUGCAUCAGGGAAUGCUACUGUCCGACAGAAAAUUGCUUCUUUGCCCCAGGAAGUGCAAGAUGUUUCUCUGCUGGAAAAAAUAACAAACAAAGAGGCAGCUGAAUGUCUUUCAAAAACAGUAGAUGAAGCAUGUCUGUUACUAGCAGAAUAUAACGGGUGCCUGGCGGCAGAACUGGAAGACCGGCGCCAGCUGGCUUGGAUGUUGGUGAAGUACACCCAGAACCAGAAAGAUGUUUUGUCAGAAAAGAAGAAAAAACUAGAAGAAUAUAAACAGAAGCUUGCUCGGGUAGCCCAGGUCCGCAAGGAACUGAAGUCCCAUAUUCAGAGUUUGCCAGACCUCUCAUUGCUGCUCAACGUCACAGGGGGCUUGGCCCCCCUGCCCUCUGCUGGUGACCUCUUUUCUACUGACUAGGGCAGGUGCCAUGCCCCAGAUUGCCAUCUCUACCAGCAGAAAUAGAAUGGAUAGGAUUAAAAUCAACUGGUAUAAAUACAGAUGUAACAGGACAAUAAAGACAGAACCUGGCUAGGCUGCUGAUCAACUAAACGCUGUCUCUGUGUCAUUCCUUCUUUGCCAACUCCGUCCACACCUUUGGGAACCCCUGGGCCUGCUGGGGUUGGACCCCAACAAAGGCCCACCAAGAGUCAACCAUUAGCAUGAACUCAACUAUGAUCUAAAAGGGCUAAUUGCAAUUUGAAUGAACCACAGAACGACCAAUCUCUAUGACGAGCACUGACCACCAGGGGGCAGAUGCUCAAUGCAGGAGCUGCCCCCUGAUGGUCAGUGUGCUCCCACAGUGGGAGCACUGCUCAGC
Myotis lucifugus (little brown bat) is the source of this 1272-nucleotide RNA transcript. It is a transcript of the gene named regulation of nuclear pre-mRNA domain-containing protein 1B pseudogene, with no coding region annotated. The record is from RefSeq and is a predicted model, not a curated record. NCBI's taxonomy places the organism in Eukaryota, Metazoa, Chordata, Mammalia, Chiroptera, Vespertilionidae. The transcript has a single exon.